Molecule: ribosomal RNA, 781 nt
Filed under: Sediminicola luteus
Lineage: Bacteria; Pseudomonadati; Bacteroidota; Flavobacteriia; Flavobacteriales; Flavobacteriaceae
Description: bacterial SSU rRNA
Rfam family: Bacterial small subunit ribosomal RNA
Source: RNAcentral
CACCGCCGACGACCGGCGCACGGGUGCGCAACGCGUAUACAAUCUACCUUAUGCUGAGGGAUAGCCCAGAGAAAUUUGGAUUAAGACCUCAUGGUAUCGGAAGACGGCAUCGUUUUCUGAUUAAAGGUUACGGCAUAAGAUGAGUAUGCGUCCCAUUAGCUAGUUGGUGUGGUAACGGCACACCAAGGCAACGAUGGGUAGGGGUCCUGAGAGGGAGAUCCCCCACACUGGUACUGAGACACGGACCAGACUCCUACGGGAGGCAGCAGUGAGGAAUAUUGGACAAUGGACGAAAGUCUGAUCCAGCCAUGCCGCGUGCAGGAAGACGGUCCUAUGGAUUGUAAACUGCUUUUAUACGGGAAGAAUAAGGGCUACGUGUAGCCCGGUGACGGUACCGUAAGAAUAAGGAUCGGCUAACUCCGUGCCAGCAGCCGCGGUAAUACGGAGGAUCCAAGCGUUAUCCGGAAUCAUUGGGUUUAAAGGGUCCGUAGGCGGACUAUUAAGUCAGGGGUGAAAGUCUGCAGCUCAACUGUAGAAUUGCCUUUGAUACUGGUAGUCUUGAGUUAUGGUGAAGUGGCUAGAAUAUGUAGUGUAGCGGUGAAAUGCAUAGAUAUUACAUAGAAUACCGAUUGCGAAGGCAGGUCACUAACCAUACACUGACGCUGAUGGACGAAAGCGUGGGGAGCGAACAGGAUUAGAUACCCUGGUAGUCCACGCCGUAAACGAUGGAUACUAGCUGUUCGGACUUCGGUCUGAGCGGCCAAGCGAAAGUGAUAAGUAU